RNAcentral lists this unclassified non-coding RNA (377 nucleotides) under uncultured Parachlamydiaceae bacterium. Its description in RNAcentral is "contains 16S-23S intergenic spacer region". Lineage: Bacteria; Pseudomonadati; Chlamydiota; Chlamydiia; Parachlamydiales; Parachlamydiaceae. The record is from RNAcentral.
UCCUGGUUAACCCAGGCAGUCUCAUUAGAGUUCCCACCUUUCGUGUUGGCAACUAAUGAUAAGGGUUGCGCUCGUUGCGGGACUUAACCCAACACCUCACGGCACGAGCUGACGACAGCCAUGCAGCACCUGUGCAGCGGCCCCGAAGGGAGGCUUCAUCUCUGAAGCUGUCCACUGCAUGUCAAGUCUGGGUAAGGUUCUUCGCGUUGCAUCGAAUUAAACCACAUGCUCCACUGCUUGUGCGGGUCCCCGUCAAUUCUUUUGAGUUUCAGCCUUGCGACUGUACUUCCCAGGCGGUAUACUUAACGCGUUAGCUACGGCACAACUGGGGUUGAGUCCAGUUACACCAAGUAUACAUAGUUUACGGCAAGGACUAC